Molecule: ribosomal RNA, 392 nt
Filed under: uncultured bacterium
Lineage: Bacteria
Description: partial 16S ribosomal RNA
Rfam family: Bacterial small subunit ribosomal RNA
Source: RNAcentral
AUACGGAGGAUCCGAGCGUUAUCCGGAUUUAUUGGGUUUAAAGGGUGCGCAGGCGGCCAUUUAAGUCAGCGGUUAAAUCGUGGGGCUCAACCCCAUUCUGCCGUUGAUACUGGGUGGCUUGAUUGCGGUCGAGGUUGGCGGAAUUCGUUGUGUAGCGGUGAAAUGCAUAGAUAUGACGAAGAACACCGAUUGCGUAGGCAGCUGACCAGACCGCAAAUGACGCUCAUGCACGAAGGUGCGGGGAUCGAACAGGAUUAGAUACCCUGGUAGUCCGCACAGUAAACGAUGAAUACUUGUUUUCGGCGAUAUAAUGUCGGAGGCAAAGCGAAAGCGAUAAGUAUUCCACCUGGGGAGUACGCCGGCAACGGUGAAACUCAAAUGAAUUGACGGGG